This 238-nucleotide ribosomal RNA is filed under the name uncultured bacterium. RNAcentral's name for it is "partial 16S ribosomal RNA". It matches the Rfam family "Bacterial small subunit ribosomal RNA", at positions 15 to 235 of the family's 1533-position model. The record is from RNAcentral.
GAUCCUGGCUCAGGAUGAACGCUGGCGGCGUGCUUAACACAUGCAAGUCGAACGAAGCACUUAUCUUUGAUUCUUCGGAUGAAGAGGUUUGUGACUGAGUGGCGGACGGGUGAGUAACGCGUGGGUAACCUGCCUCAUACAGGGGGAUAACAGUUAGAAAUGACUGCUAAUACCGCAUAAGACCACAGAGCUGCAUGGCUCGGUGGGAAAAACUCCGGUGGUAUGAGAUGGACCCGCG